This 549-nucleotide ribosomal RNA is filed under the name uncultured Glomeromycotina. RNAcentral's name for it is "SSU rRNA". It matches the Rfam family "Eukaryotic small subunit ribosomal RNA", at positions 548 to 1098 of the family's 1831-position model. The record is from RNAcentral. Lineage: Eukaryota; Fungi; Glomeromycota.
UUGGAGGGCAAGUCUGGUGCCAGCAGCCGCGGUAAUUCCAGCUCCAAUAGCGUAUAUUAAAGUUGUUGCAGUUAAAAAGCUCGUAGUUGAAUUUCGGGAUCAAUUUAUUGGUCGUGCCAACGGUACGCACUGGUACAAUUGGUUUCUCCCUUCUGACGAAGCAUGAUGUCAUUAAUUUGAUGUCGUGGGGAAUCAGGACUGUUACUUUGAAAAAAUUAGAGUGUUUAAAGCAGGCUUUGGCUUGAAUACAUUAGCAUGGAAUAAUGAAAUAGGACGUUUGAUCUUAUUUCGUUGGUUUCUAAGAUCGACGUAAUGAUUAAUAGGGAUAGUUGGGGGCAUUAGUAUUCAAUUGUCAGAGGUGAAAUUCUUGGAUUUAUUGAAGACUAACUACUGCGAAAGCAUUUGCCAAGGAUGUUUUCAUUAAUCAAGAACGAAAGUUAGGGGAUCGAAGACGAUCAGAUACCGUCGUAGUCUUAACCAUAAACUAAGCCGACUAGGGAUCGGAUGAUGUUAAUUUUUUAAUGACUCAUUCGGCGCCUUACGGGAAAC